UAGUGAGAUCUUGUCUCUACCAAAAAAAAAAAAAAUCAACAAAAUGCAACCAAAAGAAUGGAUGAGAUGGCCCUAAAAGAAUGAGGAUUACAUUUAAUGAGAAGACAUGUGGGAUGAAAUACCUAGUGAACAAUAUUUAAGGGAAACUGAAGUGCAAAUAGCCUCACAGGUUUGUUUUUGUGUUUGAGACAAGGUCUCACUGUUGCCUAGGCUGGAGUACAUUAGCACGAACAUGGUUCACUGCAGCCUCAGCUUCCUGGGCACAAGUGAUUCUCCCACCUCAGCCUCCCGAGUAACUGGGCGUAUAGGUGUGUGCCACCACAUCCAGCUAAUUUUUUUAUUUCUUUAUAGAGAUGGGGUCUCAUGACCUUGUCCAGGGUGAUCUUGAGCUCCUGGGCUCAAGCAGUUCUCCUGUGUUGGCCUCCUAAAUUGCUGAGAUAAUUGCAAAAUAUGAUAAAGAACAAGGACUCUGGGAGGCCAAGGUGGGUGGAUCACUUGAGGUCAAGAGUUCGAGACCAACCUGGCCAACAUGGCAAAACCCUGUCUCUGCUAGGAAAAGAAAAACACAAAGAAAUUAGCCGGACGUGGUGGCACAUGCCUGUAGUCCCAGUUAUGCGGGAGGCUGAGACAGGAGAAUUGCUUGAACCUGGGAGGUGGAGAUUGCAGUGACCCAAGAUUGCAUGCACCACUGCACUCCAGCCUGGGUGACAGAGCGAGACCCUGUCUCAAGAAAAAAAGAACAAGGACUCUACAGACAGACAUCAUAUAUUAGUUUGAAUCCUGGCUGGCUGUUAGCUGUUGGACUUGGGUAAAUUAUUUAACCUCAACUUUCCCUGUCUAUAAAAUGAGAAUUAAAAAUUGUAGAACUUUAUAGGGUUUUUGUGAGAAUUAAAUAGGAACAUUUGUAUAAAGCACUUAAAACAGUACCUGGCACAUACUACGUGUAGUAUAUAAUUGUUAACUCUUAUUAGCAUUCUGUCCCUUUUAUUUCCUAAAUAUCUCUCAUGCCCAUCUCUGUUAUUCUUUUGGCUUAAGACCUCAUUUCCUGCUUAUCUAUUGACUGGACUGUGGCAAAUGCCUGCUAAUUGUUAUUUUUGUGUUCAUUCAUUUAGCAAGCCAAUUUAUUGCGCGCGUAGGGUGCUGCCAGGGCUACAAAAGCUAUUGAGACUGUACUUGAUAUCAAGAAGCUUCCUGAUUAUCAUGGGAAGACUGACAUAAGGAAGCACCAUAAAAUUCUGCUGUAUGAGAGGUAUACACAGGGGUUACUGGGGGUUGACAAUUGAGGGUAUGGUCCAUUCAACAUGAGCGGGAUAGAAACAAUUCAUAAAGGAGAUGAAAUGUCUUGAGGAAUGAGCUCUUCCUUAGAAGAAUGGUUUUCAAAUGAGUGUGCAUCACAAUCACCUGUAGGACUUGUUAAAACAGAUCGCUGGGCCCUACGCCCAGAGGCUGUGGUUCAGUAGGUUGUAGUAAACCAAUAAUUUUUUGCUGCUUCCCAAGGCCACACCUUGGAAGCGACUGCAUUAAAGAAGGCAUUAUUUCCCAGUCCUUCCUCUACACAGCUGUCAAAACAAGGGUCCUGACCAUUUCAUCUUUGCACUACAUCCUUCACUGUCUCUCUUUUGCCCAUAGGAUAAGUACAAACUAGAUCUGGUUACUGCCUGCCCCACCAGCCUCAGCAUCUCUCACACCUAGGACUAAGCUUUUCUUCUGACGACUAUAAAAUAUAUCCCUCAGCCACCAUGCUAUUCCUUGCCUUCUCAAGUUUGCUGUAGGUCAAGUUAAACUUUUUGCCUGGAAUGACUUGCCUUCUUUUUUGUUUUACUUAGCUGGCUGCUUUUCAUCUUGUAGGUUAGGUCAAGGACUCCAGGAAGUCUUCCCUGGACAAGUAAUGAAGAGGGGAUAAUCUAGGGACAAACUCCCAUGUUUGGAACCUGACUCCAUUUUCAGGCACGUAACGUCAAAUUCCUUUUAAAAGCACCUCUCUGUUAACGGUGCAGGUAAUGCUAUUCCCCUCCUCUACUCCAUACCAUUGCUGACGGUUACUGAGUGGGCUAAGGUAUGGGAAGGGCCAACUAGUCCAGCUGUUCACAAACAGCCCUUUAUGUCAAACUGAAUACUGCCAACCUAGUUCCACUUUCUUUAUCUAAAGACUCAGCUUGGAGUCCUUUCUGGGACUUGGCUGGACUAAAAGUAACCCCGCCUUGUCUGGUUUGUGACUUUCUCUACUCUGAUGCCCCUGGCUUUCUGCCUUCUAGAAAUUUGUCAGAAUUUCUGAAAUUCUUGGGCCUUCCCUCUUGCUCUAUAUAUGGUUUGGGAUUCAUUCCUUUUAAAAAAUAUUUACUGUCAUUUCAGUAGAAUUUUGACACAAUAAAUAUAAGCACAUCAGA
This 2387-nucleotide long non-coding RNA is filed under the name Macaca mulatta (Rhesus monkey). RNAcentral describes it as "lncRNA (ENSMMUG00000049638.1)". The record is from RNAcentral. Lineage: Eukaryota; Metazoa; Chordata; Mammalia; Primates; Cercopithecidae.